ACUCCGUGACUUCCUGGAAGGGGAGAGGUACUGAGGUUGAGUCUAUCCCCAAUGGCCAAUGAUGUCAUCAAUCAUGCCUAAAUAAUGAAGCCUCCAUAAAAACUCAAAAGGAUGGGAUUUGGAGAACUUCUGGAAUGCUGAGCAUGUGGAGGUGCCUGGAGAGGGCAUGGAAGCUCCACAUGCCUGCCCACAUACUUUGCACUGUGCAUCCCUUCCAUCUGGCUGUUCAUCUGUAUCCUUUGUAAUAUCCUUUAUAAUAAAUAGGUAUUAUGGUUUGGAUGUAUGUGUCCCUCCAAAAUUCAUAUGCUGGAACUUAAACUCUAACGUAAUAGUGUUAAAAGGUGGGAUCUUUGGUGAAGUGAUUAAGUCAAGAGGGUUGUACCCUUAUGAAUGGGAUUAAUGCCCUUAUAAAAGAAAAUGAAGGGAGUGCCCAGCCCUUUCAGCCCCUUCUACCAUGUGAGGAUGCAGCAAGAAAAUGCCAUGUUGGAAGGAGAGAGUAGCCCUCACCAGACACUGAAUCUGCUGGUGCCUUGAUCUUGAACUUCCCAGUCUCUAGAACUGUAAAAAAAAAAGUGUUUAUUAUUUAUAAAUUACCCAAUCUAAGGUAUCUUUUAUAGCAGCCCUAACAGACUGAGACAAUAAGUAAAUAUAAGUGUUUUUCCCCGAGUUCUGUGAGUCACUCUAGUUAACUAAUCGAAUCCAGGGAAAGGGCAGUGAGAACCCCCAAUUUAUAUAAAGCCAGUUGGUCAGAAAUACAGGUCACAACCUGGGACUUGUGCUUGGCAUCUGAAGUGUGGGGCAGUCUUGUGGGGCUAAGCUGUUGGAUCUGAUGCUAACUCUGGAUAGACAGUGUCAGAGUUGAAUUAUAGAACAUCCAGCUGGUGUCCACUGGAAAACUGAUUCUGGCUGGUGGGGAGAAAUCCCUACAUAUUUUGGUGACCAGAGGGGAAGUAUUCUGCAAUGACGAUGAUAGAAGGAAAAGCAGUUUGGUUUUUUUUCCUUGGGACAUAUCACAUAAUGGUAAGGGCUCAUGAUCUGGAGCAGACUACCUGAGUUCAAAUCCCAGCUUCACCACUAACCAGUUAUGUAAUUUGUUGAGCACUUAUUAUCUGCCAGGCACUGUGCUAAGUGCCUUGCAUGUAUUAAUAUUAUCUCAUGAGUAAAGAGACACAGAGAGGUUGAGUAUCUUAUCCUAGAUCUCACAGAAGAGCAGGGAUCUUAACACAGGCAUCUGAUUUCAGAGCCCACAUUCUUAACCACUGCACUCUAGCCUGGUUGACAGAGCGAGAUUCUGUCUCUCAAAAUAAAUAAAUAUAUAAAUGUUUAUCUUAUCCAAAAACAGCCUCACAGAAACACCCAGAAUAAUGUUUGACCAGGUAUCUGGGCACUGUGGCCCAGCGAAGUUGGCACAUAAAAUUAACUAUCACAGCUUCCAUCCAUCAAAAUAGGUAAAAAGACUCAGAGAAGGUGGUAAUGGGGAGACAGGGAAAUGUUUGGACAUGGAGUAGCCCAGCAGGACCAGCCUGAGAGGCCCCUAUUACAUGGUGAUGGCCAGGGACCCACUAAACACACCAACACCCAGUGAAAGCAACAACAAUAGGGGUGGGGGUAGAAUAGCAGACUCAUUUGGCCCACACACUCUCUCAGGCCCUUCUUACUAAACCUCCUAUCUGUAGGGAUAGUGUGAAAGGAUUUGGCAGGGUCCUGUAUGAGAAACCUCACAAAGUUUGGAUUGUCUUUUACAACCAUGAGCUGAAGGCCCAUUUGGUCAGGGACUCUUCAGUUUGGGAUGUGACACUCUUGGAUUAGGGGGAUCUGAAGAUCUUCUGUAAAGCACUACUUGGUUUCCAUCAAGCUGUGGAGGGAGUGCUCUUGGACACUAAAAAAAAAAAAAACACCUUCUCACUUCCUCAUUUGGGACUGUCAAGCCAAGAAUGCAAGGAGAGGUAUACAGAAAACACCUCAUUUGGAGUUAUUUACUUUAACUGCUCAGCAUUGUGAGAACAAGCUCAUUCUUGUACCUUUCCUCCGUGGAUUUGGUGAUCACAACAAGGGACUUAUCCAUCAUUGGAGUGGCCACAAUCUGAACAAGUUCCACCCACUGCCUGAGAGUCCUGCCCUGAAUUUUAGACUUUGAUCAUAAAAAAAUGGAUAAUAUAAUUUAACAGUGAAUAAAUUAGAUAUCAAUGAA
Molecule: long non-coding RNA, 2191 nt
Filed under: Homo sapiens (human)
Lineage: Eukaryota; Metazoa; Chordata; Mammalia; Primates; Hominidae
Description: non-protein coding lnc-CTDSP2-4:4
Source: RNAcentral